AUGGAAAAGAAUGGUUGCUCCUCGUCAUCAAAUGCUUUCCUCAGCACCCACUUCUCAAUUCUUCCAAGAUCAGGUCGGAUCUGUAACAUCAGAUAUAGUAAUUGUCUAAAAGUAGAAACUAGGAAGACAUUUUACAACAAUAUGGAAUGGCACACGUGCUUCGAGUCCCCAUGCAGAUGUUGCCUUGUUGGCCCUCAAGCAAUCGUACUGAUGCAGAGCUUUGAUCUACAGUGUAAUCAUUAUGUCAGGGUGUCUGAAUCUGCCAUUUUUCUGAAAAUUUCUUUCUUAUUCACCUUUUGA
RNAcentral lists this ribosomal RNA (300 nucleotides) under Triticum aestivum (bread wheat). Its description in RNAcentral is "partial small subunit ribosomal RNA". The record is from RNAcentral. Lineage: Eukaryota; Viridiplantae; Streptophyta; Magnoliopsida; Poales; Poaceae.